Long non-coding RNA from Physella acuta, 298 nucleotides. RefSeq lists it as uncharacterized. NCBI's taxonomy places the organism in Eukaryota, Metazoa, Mollusca, Gastropoda, Physidae. The record is from RefSeq and is a predicted model, not a curated record.
CUUUUAUAUUGAGUUCCAGUUAUAAAUAGUAGGAUGCCAGCAGGAACGACAUGGACAAGAUACCUUUUGGCUUGCUCUGCAGCUAUGUUAUCAAUGAUGGCAGGAUCCCAAACAGUUCACAUGAUUUACCAGCCUCUCUUGGAUUUGGAUGAGAAAGUGGAGCUAGAAAAAGAACGUCUCAGAAAGUUAAUGAAGCAAAGUAUGGAGGAGUCUUCCCCACCUGCUAAUGCACCCAGUUAACUAUGUCGGUGUACAUUGUCCUUAUUAUUUUGUGUAAAAAUAAAAGUAUUAUAUUUCA